This 1826-nucleotide long non-coding RNA is filed under the name Homo sapiens (human). RNAcentral's name for it is "HSALNT0386650". Lineage: Eukaryota; Metazoa; Chordata; Mammalia; Primates; Hominidae. The record is from RNAcentral.
GUUUGAGGCCGGCCGCUUGGUGGCGCCUGUGGCCGCAGGGAUUUGACUGGGCCUUCUCUAGCUUUCCCCGGUUUGCUGCACUUGACGCUGCAGGGCGGGCGGGGUAAAGAAGGGAGCGAGCCCUUCUCAAGCUUGGAAAGUUUCCAGACUGCUGGGCCAGCCUCCUCCCCAGAGGGAAACUGAGGUCCGAUUGAGGUUUCUCCAAGACCGCCCACUCCUGCUCCUGUCCCCAAACCCCUUUCUGCCUAGGGUUCCUGGAAGCCAAGGAAACAGAACGAACUGUUCCCUGGGUGGGCGAGCCACUGCAGAGUACAAAGCUUUCAGGCCGCCUGCCUCAUUAGCACUAAUGGCUGCUCCCUUCCGCCCUGUGUCGUCAGGACUGUCUAUGCCUGGUCUCAUCAGCACAAGGCUGGGGUAAGGACUGCCCUUUUGUGGAGAUGGCAGGACAUACAGGACCCUGCUGCCCCUGCCUUCCCUCACCCCACUGCAGAGCUGUUUAUCACACACGUGUCCAUCUGGGAAAGGAAUGCAGGCUGAAUCAGCUUUGAGAGGAUCGCAAGGCCCCAGUGCACAAACUGGGUUGGCACAAGGCAGUGGAAAAAAGAUGAAGGGGGCCAGUAACAGCUGAAGAAGUCCCAGGAGUCCUCCCAUGUCCUCUCAGCAACCCAGGCUGGAGCCUACUCCUUGGUGUUGGCAAAGGAAACCGUCUUUGAAGCCAGAGGGAGCCCUGAAUUCAUGCAGAGGAGUUUUUCUACCUUCCAUCUGCUUCUGCAUAUCAUCUUGUCUACUUAAUGCCCCUCCUUCCGGAUUUAUAGAACAGUAUGCAUAAUAUGACCCCAACUGCAUUCCAAAAAAUAGAUGUAGAUGUAAGCUUAGAGAUGCAAAGAAACUUUUUGAGAGAAUUCACUAUGCUUCUCGCGGGUGGUGACACAGUUCAAGGAGGUUCCAUGGGGUGUAAUGUUUAUCUUUCUCUUUUGUCCUUCUGAUCAUUGAAAUGAUGCUUUGUGUGUGUGAACAUGUAUUACUUUUAUAAUUAAAAUAGAAAAAUUAAUUUGAAUGGGACAAAUGCUCGAAGUCAAAGUCACCUGUUAUAACUGCUGUCACUAACAGGGCAACUGUUUGAAAAUGCUGCAGAAACAUGAGAAAUGUUCAUGAAGUGACCCUGUGGAGGCUUCCGGUCACAGGAUCAUGUGAGCGCCACGAUCACCCCAGGGGUGGAGCAGAUGCUAAGUGUUCACCACACCCAAUUCUCUUCCUGGACACACAGGAAGAUGACAUUUCCAGUGACAUGCCCCACCUCUAGGCCCUAGUCUUUUUUUUAUUUAAAGGUCUGAGUCUUGUUCUGUCACCCAGGCUGGAGUGCAGUGCUGUGAUCAUGACUCACUGCAGCCUCAACCUCCUGUGCUCAAACAAUCCUCCCACCUCAGCCUCCCUAAUAGCUGAUGUCAUAUAGGCAUGAGCCAGUGUGCCUGGCUCAGGCCCUACCCUUAAAAGCAUCCCACCUGAUUCACCAGCCCCCUUCUCUCUCUCAGUAAACUUGGAAACCACGCAUUCCAGAUGGUAUAAUUUACAGCAUGAUGGAAAAAGCCAGCUCUCCAUGGGAAGCUGGCCAGUCUUCAUUGGAGUACAUUUUUAUUGCAUGAAGCCAAUGAGACUUGAUAUUGUUUAACUCUGUGGUUUCCAAAGUGCGGUCCUUUUGAAGUAUCCAUAAAGUCUACACUAGGUUCACGGUAAUAUUAAGAUGUUAUUUGUCAGCUGGGCACGGUGGCUCACGCCUAUAAUCUCAGCACUUUGGGAGGCCAAGGCAAAUGGAUAAUGAGGUCAGG